AUUGAACGCUGGCGGCAUGCCUUACACAUGCAAGUCGAACGGUAGAGGGGCAACCCUUGAGAGUGGCGAACGGGUGAGUAAUGCAUCGGAACGUGCCCAGUCGUGGGGGAUAACGUAGCGAAAGCUACGCUAAUACCGCAUACGAUCUGCGGAUGAAAGCGGGGGACCUUCGGGCCUCGCGCGAUUGGAGCGGCCGAUGUCAGAUUAGCUAGUUGGGGGGGUAAAGGCCUACCAAGGCGACGAUCUGUAGCUGGUCUGGGAGGACGACCAGCCACACUGGGACUGAGACACGGCCCAGACUCCUACGGGAGGCAGCAGUGGGGAAUUUUGGACAAUGGGCGCAAGCCUGAUCCAGCCAUGCCGCGUGCAGGAAGAAGGCCUUCGGGUUGUAAACUGCUUUUGUCAGGGAAGAAAUCUCCUGGGUUAAUACCUUGGGAGGAUGACGGUACCUGAAGAAUAAGCACCGGCUAACUACGUGCCAGCCGCCGCAGUAA
Molecule: ribosomal RNA, 494 nt
Filed under: uncultured bacterium
Lineage: Bacteria
Description: partial 16S ribosomal RNA
Rfam family: Bacterial small subunit ribosomal RNA
Source: RNAcentral